GGGGAAUUGGUAUAGUGGUAGCACGUUCGCUUAGCAUGCGAGAGAUCGAGGGUUCGAUUCCUUCAUUCUCCA
Transfer RNA from Hepatospora eriocheir, 72 nucleotides. It matches the Rfam family "tRNA". Rfam says of the family: Transfer RNA (tRNA) molecules are approximately 80 nucleotides in length. Their secondary structure includes four short double-helical elements and three loops (D, anti-codon, and T loops). Further hydrogen bonds mediate the characteristic L-shaped molecular structure. tRNAs have two regions of fundamental functional importance: the anti-codon, which is responsible for specific mRNA codon recognition, and the 3' end, to which the tRNAs corresponding amino acid is attached (by aminoacyl-tRNA synthetases). tRNAs cope with the degeneracy of the genetic code in two manners: having more than one tRNA (with a specific anti-codon) for a particular amino acid; and 'wobble' base-pairing, i.e. permitting non-standard base-pairing at the 3rd anti-codon position. The record is from Rfam. Lineage: Eukaryota; Fungi; Microsporidia; Hepatosporidae.